This is a long non-coding RNA of Alligator sinensis (Chinese alligator), 907 nucleotides long. RefSeq lists it as uncharacterized. The transcript has 3 exons. NCBI's taxonomy places the organism in Eukaryota, Metazoa, Chordata, Crocodylia, Alligatoridae. The record is from RefSeq and is a predicted model, not a curated record.
UCACCCUCCCCUGCUCCCACCAGCAGAGCCAAGCAAAAUCCUGGACAUUUGGUCAGAUUUAGACAUCCUGCCUGGACAAAGAUCAGAGGGCUCAAAAAGAGGAUGUGUCCAGGAAAUCUGGAUGUAUGGUAACCCUACCCCAGGGCCAGGGGACAGGGCUGGCCCCAGCCCGGCUCCUGCAAACCUGUGGGGCAGGAGAAGCUCUGCUGUGGCUUUCCCCUCACCAGGCCCCUUCUCCCAGCUCCUCCCUGUGAUGUGGGGAAGGUCAAAGCACAUAAUAGUGACCGCCCAGAAAUCCCAGGAAACUUGGCCUCCCAGGGUAGAAAUAGCAGAUGUGCUGGAGAUCGUGGAAGUAGUCCAAUGGAUGGACACCUGGGCCUUGCUCCUUGCACGGCCUGAUCCUGCUCUCCUCGUCCUGGCGAAAGCAAGGGGAAGAUCUCAGCUAUACACUGACUUUAUGGAAAUGGGAGACUCCUCUGUAGCUUGCUUCUGUGGCCAUAUGACUGAAGGCAAGUGAAACUCGGGGGUAUCCGAACUGCAAGCCUCUGCACUUCAGCCUGCAUGUUCCCAGCUGCAGGUGACCACGGCACCCUCCUCCACAGCCCACAUGGGCUCAGGGGCCCUGCCGCAGUGCCAGUUCACUGUUGUGGAGCUGGUAGCCCUGCGCUCCCUGCCAGUUAUGUGGUAUUUCUGAGAGAAGAAGGUGUCCAAAUAUAAUGAAGGCAGGAGCCAGGCCCAGACCAGAGCCAGCCUGCCAUUGGAGAAGGAGCUGGAGAGCAAAGAUACCACCCUGUCGCUGGCCGUGGUGACCCUGUCAGACGACCCUGUACAAGUGCUCCAAGGGGUGACUGACCUGAAACCCUGGGCCACGACUGUGAGGGUAACAGCUGGGACACAAAGGAUGCCA